GGAGGAUGUUUCCAGUUUGGUAACUGGACCGGACUGUAAAUCCGAGAAAUGUCUCCAAAGGCAUUGCGGUUCGAUCCCGCCAUCCUCCGCCA
This 92-nucleotide transfer RNA is filed under the name Chloroflexota bacterium. RNAcentral describes it as "Chloroflexi bacterium tRNA-Tyr". It matches the Rfam family "Selenocysteine transfer RNA". Lineage: Bacteria; Bacillati; Chloroflexota. The record is from RNAcentral.